CGAAGGUCGACUAAGGCAACGUACGCCGCACGACGGGUUGUGUUUGGGACCCGGCCGUUACCAUCGUGACGCUCCGAUUGCGCUUACGGUCAAGAAUGGACGAGUGAAGAAAAUCUGCACCAGGCCUGCCGUCGAGGAGAUUUUCUUGCUCUACAAACGAUACACUUGGGGCAAGGCCCAGUGGCAAGUUGGUUAAUUUUAAAUAGAUGUAUAUAUUAUUCCAACCCUCAGCUAAGCGCUACUUGCUCAUGUGUGGUAGCUGGAACCUCGCUCAACCACAGUACCACGCGUCCAUUCUGAUUUCUUUACUUGAGGGAAGUUUACGUGGUUAAAAUUGUGAUGCGUACUGAUAGAAUAUCAUAAAAUUCAACAACUGCACUUUAUUCCUGCUAUUUGGUGUAUUGUUACUAAGCUACUGCUGCUAGGCUUGGCUAAUCUUGUGUUGUUACGGUGCAACAACUGGGGAAUGGACAAAAUGGAGUUUCGGUUUUUGGCUUAUCUUAGACUAAGCUUCUUUUUUUACAAAAAUUAAAAUACAGUUAAAUAAUUUACUUGUUGCAACUAAUAAGGGUGCUUAUCAGGGAAUGCAAUAAGCUGUCCACUUGCUUAACACAAUGCGCCGAACGAGAUGGUAACAGUGUAAGCAAUCAACGACUUUUUGUUGUUAUCUUCAAUUGUGCCUUGUUGUAAACAAAUGGACGAUUGUCUUACAGGGCAUCCCGAACAUUUUUGACGCUUUCCCAUGAUUUCUUGGUGGUGUCCCAAAUAUUCGUGGUUUCGUCCCGAGGGUUUUUAUUAAGGUUUCCCAGAUGACUUUAUAAAGUUGAAUAAAAAAUCAGAAAGGAUGUUAAAUGAUUUAUUGAGCCUACAUAGGAGCAUUGGGGCGGUCAGGUGGCCGAGGUGACAGCCAUCCGAACCGCAUUCCGCCGUACGCAGGAUUUGACUGCCCGGCUACGGGUGGAAUCAAGUCACAGAACGCCAGAUAAGGGCGGACCGAGACCUCUCGAGUUUAUAGUGCCAAGAAAGACGAAGAAGAAGAAAUAGGAGCAUUUUUUGCCUAGAUGUUCAUUUGAACUUAAGUAACAUGUAAGAAUGUUCUGCUUGACGGAAACAUAUUAAUAGUGUUAGCAUCUUCUUUUUCUUGGGCUCUGGGCAGGCAGCCCAGUCCUGCCGUGUGAAGACCGGUUCCGUUAUCGCCUAGGCCCCAAUAAUUGAGUCCUGAAUAAGUUAGAAAAGGCAGGCAUGAUCUAUAAGAGGUCGUUAGGCCAAAGAAGAAGAACAAAAAUAGGAACAAGUGUAAUUUUAUUCAUGUCAACUUGCCUUGUCAUGAAUAUCAUUUUUGUUCAUCUCCACAAAUUUUUUAUCUGUUGUAAAAUAAAAGCAGGUGUGUCGAAUAAUAUUGAUACUAGUUCAAAAAUAUAAAUUAAAAAAUUAACGGAAAAAGCGUCUCCGGGACAAAACCGAAAAACUUUUAGGAAAUUGUCAAACAACAUUGGGAAACCCUGUAUGAUCUGGAAAGCACUGUAAAACACUAUUAUAAAUCAACAUAUUUUCCAAAA
This is a long non-coding RNA of Anopheles stephensi (Asian malaria mosquito), 1559 nucleotides long. RefSeq lists it as uncharacterized. The transcript has 2 exons. Lineage: Eukaryota; Metazoa; Arthropoda; Insecta; Diptera; Culicidae. The record is from RefSeq and is a predicted model, not a curated record.